Molecule: transfer RNA, 73 nt
Filed under: Ipnops sp. auip01
Lineage: Eukaryota; Metazoa; Chordata; Actinopteri; Aulopiformes; Ipnopidae
Description: tRNA-Thr
Rfam family: tRNA
About the family: Transfer RNA (tRNA) molecules are approximately 80 nucleotides in length. Their secondary structure includes four short double-helical elements and three loops (D, anti-codon, and T loops).
Source: RNAcentral
GCCCUGGUAGCUCAAAUGCUAGAGCGUCGGUCUUGUAAUCCGAAGGUCGGAGGUUAAAACCCUCCCUAGUGCU